UACGAAGGGGGCUAGCGUUGCUCGGAAUUACUGGGCGUAAAGGGCGCGUAGGCGGAUAUUUAAGUCAGGGGUGAAAUCCUGGAGCUCAACUCCAGAACUGCCCUUGAUACUGAGGAUCUUGAGUUCGGGAGAGGUGAGUGGAACUGCGAGUGUAGAGGUGAAAUUCGUAGAUAUUCGCAAGAACACCAGUGGCGAAGGCGACUCACUGGCCCGUUACUGACGCUGAGGCGCGAAAGCGUGG
RNAcentral lists this ribosomal RNA (241 nucleotides) under uncultured bacterium. Its description in RNAcentral is "partial 16S ribosomal RNA". It matches the Rfam family "Bacterial small subunit ribosomal RNA", at positions 524 to 764 of the family's 1533-position model. The record is from RNAcentral.